CGGCCAGUGGGGGAGUGAUUAAACGCAUCUCCGUAUCAAGGAGACUGUCGUGGGUUCGAAUCCUGUCUGGUUGA
This 74-nucleotide transfer RNA is filed under the name Operophtera brumata (winter moth). It matches the Rfam family "tRNA". From Rfam's summary of the family: Transfer RNA (tRNA) molecules are approximately 80 nucleotides in length. Their secondary structure includes four short double-helical elements and three loops (D, anti-codon, and T loops). The record is from Rfam by way of RNAcentral. Lineage: Eukaryota; Metazoa; Arthropoda; Insecta; Lepidoptera; Geometridae.